CUUGAACUUGAAGUGUUUAGUAUCACAAGUUGCAUAUUAAUAACGAAUAAUAUAAAAAAAUCUACGACAAUGGCACGGCUAAUUGUUUUGUCUCUCCUUUUCGUUGCAGUCUGUAUUUAUGGUUUUCAAAAACGUAAAUCCUGCGGUCCUAAUGAAGAAUGGCGUAUAUGUGCAGUGCUACCAUUUUGCGAACCUAAAUGUGGUCAAGUUUUUCAGCCACUCUGUCCUCCGAUUUGCAAUUCUGGUUGCCAGUGCUCGGAAGGAUACAAAAGAAAUGUAACUACUAAUCUUUGCGUUAAGUGUUUUUAAAGUUACAAAGUUGUAUUGAACGAAGAAUGAUUAUUUUAAUUAUUUUAUUUUAUUUUAUAAUAAUAGGUACAUAUAUAAAAUAUAUAAAAGUUUCUGUAUAUUAUAAUGCAUCAAGUGCACGUACUUUGCGCAGAUUAAAGAUAUUUUGAUAUUAUAUUUUGAUAUUAUAUUUUGAUAAGAAAAUAGAUUAUAUAUAGUUCUUAAUGAUGUUGAACUCCAUCAUAUAUACGAUGCAAUAUCGAUAUAACGUGAAACAUAAAAAGAAGUGAUUGCCGAUAGAUUAAACUUAAUUGUCAUUUAUAAUUGUAAUCGAUGUGCUAUCUAUUCAUGUACUUGAUGA
Molecule: long non-coding RNA, 649 nt
Organism: Camponotus floridanus (Florida carpenter ant)
Lineage: Eukaryota; Metazoa; Arthropoda; Insecta; Hymenoptera; Formicidae
Exons: 3
Source: RefSeq, a predicted model, not a curated record